CCUACGGGUGGCAGCAGUGAGGAAUAUUGGUCAAUGGGCGGAAGCCUGAACCAGCCAAGUAGCGUGCAGGAUGACGGCCCUACGGGUUGUAAACUGCUUUUAUACGGGAAUAACGCGCCUUACGUGUAGGGCUUUGCAUGUACCGUAUGAAUAAGGACCGGCUAAUUACGUGCCAGCAGCCGCGGUAAUACGGAAGGUCCGGGCGUUAUCCGGAUGUAUUGGGUUUAAAGGGAGCGUAGGCGGAAUGUUAAGUGUGUUGUGAAAUGUCCGGGCUCAACCCGGGCCUUGCAGGGCAUACUGGCGUACUUGAGUCCACGAGAGGCAGGCGGAAUUCGUGGUGUAGCGGUGAAAUGCUUAGAUAUCACGAAGAACCCCGAUUGCGAAGGCAGCUUGCUGCAGCGGAACUGACGCUGAUGCUCGAAAGCGCGGGUAUCGAACAGGAUUAGAUACCCUAGUAGUC
Molecule: ribosomal RNA, 460 nt
Filed under: uncultured bacterium
Lineage: Bacteria
Description: partial 16S ribosomal RNA
Rfam family: Bacterial small subunit ribosomal RNA
Source: RNAcentral